Fukomys damarensis (Damara mole-rat) is the source of this 391-nucleotide long non-coding RNA. RefSeq lists it as uncharacterized. NCBI's taxonomy places the organism in Eukaryota, Metazoa, Chordata, Mammalia, Rodentia, Bathyergidae. The record is from RefSeq and is a predicted model, not a curated record. The transcript has 3 exons.
GAAAUCUGUACAUUAAGAGCCUUUGGAUUUCCAGUAUCUCACAGAUGGCCAAGGCAGAUUCCUACCAAGAGCAGACUGGCAGAGAGAACCUGGAGAACCUUUCCAUGUGGCACAGUCCGGAGAACUAUCUUGGACAUCAUAAGCAAUUAACAAGAGAUCUGAAGUCUCAAGAGACCAUUUUGAUGUCAGAGUUUAUUGUGACAUCUCAUCAAAAAUCUGGGCCAGAAGGUGUGUCGGAUCCAUAUCUGACUUCAGGUCACUUGAUUUAGAACUCUAUCUUCUCCACAUGGCUACUCUGGAGAUGGGAGCGUGCUUCACACCAUAUCAGAGCUCCUGAGCUUCCCUCCCGAUUCUCUUAGUGCACUUCAGCUGAGCAAUACAGCUUCAUUUC